RNAcentral lists this ribosomal RNA (253 nucleotides) under uncultured bacterium. RNAcentral describes it as "partial 16S ribosomal RNA". It matches the Rfam family "Bacterial small subunit ribosomal RNA", at positions 524 to 776 of the family's 1533-position model. The record is from RNAcentral.
UACGAAGGGAGCUAGCGUUGUUCGGAAUCACUGGGCGUAAAGCGCACGUAGGCGGAUGUGUCAGUCAGGGGUGAAAUCCCGGAGCUUAACUCCGAAACUGCAUUCGAUACUGCCGUGCUUGAGGACUGGAGAGGAGACUGGAAUUUACGGUGUAGCGGUGAAAUGCGUAGAUAUCGUAAGGAAGACCAGUGGCGAAGGCGGGUCUCUGGACAGUUCCUGACGCUGAGGCACGAAAGCGUGGGGAGCAAACAGG